UCCUGGGUGGCUCAGUCAGUUAAGCAUCUGACUUCGGCUCAGGUCAUAAUCUCAUGGUUUGUGGGUUUAAGCCCCACAUCGGGAU
RNAcentral lists this transfer RNA (85 nucleotides) under Felis catus (domestic cat). It matches the Rfam family "tRNA". Rfam says of the family: Transfer RNA (tRNA) molecules are approximately 80 nucleotides in length. Lineage: Eukaryota; Metazoa; Chordata; Mammalia; Carnivora; Felidae. The record is from Rfam by way of RNAcentral. RNAcentral also lists the same sequence under 2 other names.